CAGUAGCCACGGUAAUACGGAGGGUGCAAGCGUUAAUCGGAAUUACUGGGCGUAAAGCGUGCGUAGGCGGUGAGUUAAGUCUGCUGUGAAAUCCCCGGGCUUAACCUGGGAACUGCGCUUGUGACUGCACAGCUAGAGUAUGGCAGAGGGGGGUGGAAUUCCACGUGUAGCAGUGAAAUGCGUAGAGAUGUGGAGGAACACCGAUGGCGAAGGCAGCCCCCUGGGCCAAUACUGACGCUCAUGCACGAAAGCGUGGGGAGCAAACAGGAUUAGAUACCCCGGUAGUCCCUGUCUCUUAUAC
Molecule: ribosomal RNA, 301 nt
Filed under: uncultured bacterium
Lineage: Bacteria
Description: partial 16S ribosomal RNA
Rfam family: Bacterial small subunit ribosomal RNA
Source: RNAcentral